Molecule: long non-coding RNA, 1038 nt
Filed under: Oryctolagus cuniculus (rabbit)
Lineage: Eukaryota; Metazoa; Chordata; Mammalia; Lagomorpha; Leporidae
Description: lncRNA (ENSOCUG00000031223.1)
Source: RNAcentral
AUGAGCAUUUUUGAGCACGCAGAACACAUCGGCUCAGCCUGGAGCCAGCAGUUAGAGCGCGAACACACACACACACACACACACACACACACACACACACACACGCAGGCACGCACGCGGAGCAGUGCUUUCCUCUCAAGUGAGGCGGCAUUAGCAACUGCAGUUCCAGCUUCCUCAGCUGAGCUCCCGGCGGCCACUGCCUGCCUGAUUUGUCGGAGGAGCGCUAGAGUCCAGUUUCUGAGGGAUCCGGUAACAUGUAGCUGUCACAGCUGGUGGCAGACAGCCACUUCUUUCCAGCUGCUUCGCAGCCCUGGCAAGAGGACACCCUCUUCCAAAAUUCACGCUGCCUGGGGAGGAGGCUGCUCAGUGCAGAUUUCUUUGCAGGGUAGAGAAAAGGAUAACUCUGGAUACACUUUUUGUCCUGAACAAAGGAGACAGCACAGACAUCUUCAGACAAGUCCCACAUCUCCAACUUCAAUUUUGUUUGAAGAUUGGUACUGACAAGCUGACUGGUAAGUGACACCACAAUUCUUAUUAUGAUGCAUUUUUUAAAGUAUAUGUUCUAUAGUCAUCUUGGCACCCUGAUUUUCAAAUACAGAAAUCAGCAACUGGGACUUAAAGGAGUGAAAUUCUCUACUGUCUUCCCAAAGAUACAGUGUCUAGAGAAAUAGUUGAUGAAUUAUUCUCACUGAAUAGUUGUUUCUGGCAAUAGUUGAUUGAGUUAAAUCAUUGGAUAACAUUCUGUAUCUGUGGCAGUUGUGAAUUACAUUUCAAAGGAAACCAAGGGGCUCUGAGUAAAGAAAAAAAUGAUAGGUAAACUAACUUGAGAAGAACUAUGAGAAUUAGUUUGUAUGAAUAAUAUGGUUUACUUCAAUUUUAUGUCUUUAAAAUUUUAGUAUGCAUAAAGAUGAAAGAUUUCUAAAGUUCUUCUCACGUGGCUUACUAAUAUAGAACCGAAUGUGUUGUUUUGUUGUAGAAUUCGAAAGGAAGCUAUUGUUUCAAUUGUGCACCAAAAUAAUAAACUCUUGCCAGAAAACA